GGAAGAUACCGCUAAGUGGCUGGCAACCGGCGUCGAAUACCGGGGCGGGGUAACUCCUGGGGGUUCGAUUCCUCUAUCUUCCGC
RNAcentral lists this transfer RNA (84 nucleotides) under Mycobacterium phage Myrna. Its description in RNAcentral is "tRNA-Ser". The record is from RNAcentral. Lineage: Duplodnaviria; Heunggongvirae; Uroviricota; Caudoviricetes.